This 138-nucleotide ribosomal RNA is filed under the name uncultured bacterium. RNAcentral's name for it is "partial 16S ribosomal RNA". It matches the Rfam family "Bacterial small subunit ribosomal RNA", at positions 355 to 509 of the family's 1533-position model. The record is from RNAcentral.
UGGGGAAUAUUGCACAAUGGGGGGAACCCUGAUGCAGCGAACGCCGCGUGAGGGAAGAAGGUUUUCGGAUUGUAAACCUCUGUCCUCUGUGACGAUAAUGACGGUAGCAGAGGAGGAAGCCACGGCUAACUACGUGCC